Non-coding RNA from Pelobates cultripes (western spadefoot toad), 208 nucleotides. NCBI's taxonomy places the organism in Eukaryota, Metazoa, Chordata, Amphibia, Anura, Pelobatidae. The record is from the annotation of a GenBank genome assembly.
AUGGUGACCAGAAUGUUCCUUUAAUUUGCUUAAAGGAACACUAUAGUGUCAGGAAUACAAACAUGUAUUCCUGACACAGUAGUUGUGAAAACGCUGUUCACCCUGGUAUUAUGUGAUAAUGACUAUGCUCCUCCCCUUCAUGACACUGUCAAAUAGGGGCUAAGCAUGGAUGCCAUUACAAUUACAAAAAUUCCUGCGGACGCCCAUU